This 251-nucleotide ribosomal RNA is filed under the name uncultured bacterium. RNAcentral describes it as "partial 16S ribosomal RNA". It matches the Rfam family "Bacterial small subunit ribosomal RNA", at positions 524 to 775 of the family's 1533-position model. The record is from RNAcentral.
UACGAAGGGGGCUAGCGUUGCUCGGAAUCACUGGGCGUAAAGGGUGCGUAGGCGGGUCUUAAGUCAGGGGUGAAAUCCUGGAGCUCAACUCCAGAACUGCCUUUGAUACUGAGGAUCUUGAGUUCGGGAGAGGUGAGUGGAACUGCGAGUGUAGAGGUGAAAUUCGUAGAUAUUCGCAAGAACACCAGUGGCGAAGGCGGCUCACUGGCCCGAUACUGACGCUGAGGUGCGAAAGCGUGGGGAGCAAACAG